RNAcentral lists this transfer RNA (71 nucleotides) under Saccoglossus kowalevskii. RNAcentral describes it as "tRNA-Gly". It matches the Rfam family "tRNA". From Rfam's summary of the family: Transfer RNA (tRNA) molecules are approximately 80 nucleotides in length. Their secondary structure includes four short double-helical elements and three loops (D, anti-codon, and T loops). Lineage: Eukaryota; Metazoa; Hemichordata; Enteropneusta; Harrimaniidae. The record is from RNAcentral.
GCACUGGUGGUUCAGUGGUUGAAUUCUCGCCUGCCACGCGGGAGGCCUGGGUUCGAUUCCCGGCCAAUGCA